GAAGGGCUGUACUUCUCCUUACCAUCAAAAGAAGCUGGGAAAGUAAUCAGGAUUUUCGGGAGAAGUGGUGAUUAUCUCGAAUCCAUCGGAGCACAAAUCAAGCCAUGCUAUCCCCACAAGCGUGUGGGGCUACUUAGGUCGGAAAGUGCGUCAAAGUGGGAUGAUCAGUGUACGCACACCAAUGUAAGGAAAAUCACUGUGGAACAUAAGUCAAAGAGAAAGCGAUCCGUCCAAUCAAUCAAGAUUCAAUACGAAGAUGAGAAUAACAAAUUGUUGCAUUCGGAGACAUAUGAUGGCAGUAUUGCAAAAAAGAACUUCAAGUUAAGGAAGAAGACCACCCAAACGAUCGAAAUACGUGAACCAGAUGGGCAUUCGACUUCAAUAUCCGGGUGUACGUGUCAACCAGACAGAGAAACGAUUAGAGGAACCAUGUCUUCUACUUCUCAUCAAUGG
Molecule: long non-coding RNA, 453 nt
Organism: Eucalyptus grandis
Lineage: Eukaryota; Viridiplantae; Streptophyta; Magnoliopsida; Myrtales; Myrtaceae
Exons: 3
Source: RefSeq, a predicted model, not a curated record